AGAGGCGGGAGGUGUGGAAGCUUGGAUGAAGGUAUGAACUGGAAGAAGUUUGGGCCUUAAGCCCAAACUCUACAAACCAAAAAAAACGGACCCAAGCCAUUCUCAACACCAAAACUCCACGGUCUUCACUGCACACCUGGAUCGCGUUGUUUCGAAGUCGUUUUCGCCAUCAUCACAAUCCGAAUUGGUUCGGAUUCAUCAUCAUCUUCUCCGAAUCACUGCAACCGGAGUCCAAUACGACUCCGAUCCUAGCUAACACUUAUUCCUAAAACGCGACCUGGAUAUCUCCAUCGAAGGCGAAGACAAUCCGGAGGCCAUACACAAUCUCUCAUUCUCAAUCUGAAUCUUUCAACCAUUUCCUGCAGUCGUGUUUGCAUCGUUCCACCCGUUCGUGAAGGAUGUUGUUUGUCGAUUUCGGCACUUCUGAGAUUGGAAGCUUCGCGAGGCUUGGACUCACACAAGAUCGAACGAAAUCGGUAUCCGAUAAAGGCGACCUAGCUUAAUAAAGAAUAUCUGCAGAAGACGUACCAGGAUUCAACGCAGUGAUUCUUCGAAAUAAAUUUCAUAGGUUAGUGAAAAUCUGCAGAAGUUGAAUAAGGGCGAGAGAUGGAGAUUUGCAGGGAGUAUGAACAAGAAUGAAAAAGAAACUGAGUUUUGCAGAAUCAAUGGAUGCUGAAGAUUGCAGGUAGCGUAUGGUUGUUACGGUUGCAGAGUGAAGGGUGCAGAACAGAAUGAAGAGAUAAGAGAAAGAGUGAAGAGAAAGAUUGAAAAAGUGAAGAAAACUCGUGGCUCGAGCCAAUGGUGAGAACUGCCAAUUUAUAGAGUUUCUAUGAAGUGAUUUCGUUAACUCUGUUAAUCUCUUCUCCCACCAAAUUUGUUAACCGUUGAAACUCUGUUAGUUAGUUAGUUUGUUAAAUUGAUUAUUCUGUUAAAAUUCUGUUGACAAUCUCAAAUGGCUUUUGAUUCUCUAUGAUGAAUGCAACUUCUGUUAUCA
Molecule: long non-coding RNA, 994 nt
Organism: Lathyrus oleraceus (garden pea)
Lineage: Eukaryota; Viridiplantae; Streptophyta; Magnoliopsida; Fabales; Fabaceae
Exons: 2
Source: RefSeq, a predicted model, not a curated record